This 246-nucleotide ribosomal RNA is filed under the name uncultured bacterium. Its description in RNAcentral is "partial 16S ribosomal RNA". It matches the Rfam family "Bacterial small subunit ribosomal RNA", at positions 523 to 769 of the family's 1533-position model. The record is from RNAcentral.
AUACGUAGGUGGCAAGCGUUGUCCGGAAUUAUUGGGCGUAAAGAGCAUGUAGGUGGGCUGUUAAGUCUGUUGUGAAAAUGCGGGGCUCAACCCCGUAUUGCGAUGGAAACUGACAGUCUUGAGUGCAGGAGAGGAAAGGGGAAUUCCCAGUGUAGCGGUGAAAUGCGUAGAUAUUGGGAGGAACACCAGUGGCGAAGGCGCCUUUCUGGACUGUGUCUGACACUGAGAUGCGAAAGCUAGGGGAGC